GAUGAACGCUGGCGGCGUGCCUAAUACAUGCAAGUCGAGCGAACAGACGAGGAGCUUGCUCCUCUGACGUUAGCGGCGGACGGGUGAGUAGCACGUGGAUAACCUACCUAUAAGACUGGGAUAACUUCGGGAAACCGGAGCUAAUACCGGAUAAUAUAUUGAACCGCAUGGUUCAAUAGUGAAAGACGGUUUUGCUGUCACUUAUAGAUGGAUCCGCGCCGCAUUAGCUAGUUGGUAAGGUAACGGCUUACCAAGGCAAGGAUGCGUAGCCGACCUGAGAGGGUGAUCGGCCACACUGGAACUGAGACACGGUCCAGACUCCUACGGGAGGCAGCAGUAGGGAAUCUUCCGCAAUGGGCGAAAGCCUGACGGAGCAACGCCGCGUGAGUGAUGAAGGUCUUCGGAUCGUAAAACUCUGUUAUUAGGGAAGAACAAAUGUGUAAGUAACUAUGCACGUCUUGACGGUACCUAAUCAGAAAGCCACGGCUAACUACGUG
This 497-nucleotide ribosomal RNA is filed under the name uncultured bacterium. Its description in RNAcentral is "partial 16S ribosomal RNA". It matches the Rfam family "Bacterial small subunit ribosomal RNA", at positions 28 to 507 of the family's 1533-position model. The record is from RNAcentral.